GGAAUUUUCCGCAAUGGGCGAAAGCCUGACGGAGCAAUACCGCGUGAGGGAAGACUGCCCAUGGGUUGUAAACCUCUUUUUUCAGGGAGGAAUAAAAUGACGUGUACCUGAAGAAUAAGCAUCGGCUAACUCCGUGCCAGCAGCCGCGGUAAGACGGAGGAUGCAAGUGUUAUCCGGAAUCACUGGGCGUAAAGCGUCUGUAGGUGGUUUAAUAAGUCAACUGUUAAAUCUUGAGGCUCAACUUCAAAACCGCAGUCGAAACUAUUAGACUAGAGUAUAGUAGAGGUAAAGGGAAUUUCCAGUGGAGCGGUGAAAUGCGUAGAGAUUGGAAAGAACACCGAUGGCGAAAGCACUUUACUGGGCUAUUACUAACACUCAGAGACGAAAGCUAGGGUAGCAAAUGGGAUUAAUACCCCAGUAGUC
Molecule: ribosomal RNA, 423 nt
Filed under: uncultured eukaryotic phytoplankton
Lineage: Eukaryota
Description: bacterial SSU rRNA
Rfam family: Bacterial small subunit ribosomal RNA
Source: RNAcentral